GACGAACGCUGGCGGCGUGCUUAAUACAUGCAAGUCGAACGGAAAGGCCCUGAUUUUGCGGGGUUCUCGAGAGGCGAACGGGUGUGAAAAACGCGUGUAUACUGUCCUUGACAUUGGGAUAUAUUCAGGAAAAAGGGGAUAAAACACGAUAGGAGAUUCUGCUGCACGGUGGGGGUAGGAAAGAUUCGGCGGUUGUGGAUGGAAUCGCGGCUUAUCCGCUUGUUGGUGAGGUAGUGUCUUACCAAGGCUUCGACGGGUAGCCGGCCUGAGAGGGGGACCGGCCACAUUGGGACUGAGGUAGGGCCCAUACGCCUACGUGGGGCAGCGGUGGGAAACUUUGCGCAAUGGGCCGAAGCCUGAUACAGCAACGUCGCGUGCGGAAUGUCGGCCUUCGGGUUGUAAACCGCUUUCGCCUGUGACGAUGCGUGAGUGACGGUAAUUGGUAAGAAAGCACCGGCUAACUACGUG
This 468-nucleotide ribosomal RNA is filed under the name uncultured bacterium. Its description in RNAcentral is "partial 16S ribosomal RNA". It matches the Rfam family "Bacterial small subunit ribosomal RNA", at positions 28 to 507 of the family's 1533-position model. The record is from RNAcentral.